UGUCAGGUUGUAAACAACAAAUAUCACAACUCAGUUUGAUUCCUGGCAUUGGAAAAUGCUGCAAGAACCCAAUGGAUACAACACUUUGCAGGAGCCAGCAUAACAGACACAGCAGGGGUGGAGAGGAUGGAAGCAGCAUCUCUGGAUUGGAUGAGUUCCUUGUGAAAUCAUUGGACAGUAUUUCAGGAAAAGGUGAACAGAGCAUCAGCCUGAAGCAAACAGCAUAUUUAACUGUUCUUCAGUCAGCAAAAUUAGGGACUUGGAGUCUGAAAGGAAGAGGCAAUCCUGAAAAGGUACUGAAGAGGUUUCUAAAGAGAAGAGAUGAUAGAAAAUCAUGAAAGAAGGGAAAGAUGACAGCUGGAGGAAGAGUAACAGAGAUGUCUGGAGUCAAAUGCGGGGGAUGCCCAGGGAUUUUAGCCAUUGGCACCUCAAAUGGAUAACUCUGAGCAGAUGAACAGCAGGAACCAAUACAAUUUUCUGCCUGACAAUGGCAGACCAGCAGUGACCUCCCUACAAAUCAAGACCUAUGAGCAUUGUGCUGUGGAAGAGAGCAAGUGAAACAAUUCAUGAAAUCAUAGAAUAUCUCAGAUUCUCUCUCUCCUCACUGAAGGGCUGGAAUAUCAGAAAAACAGGCCUACAGAGAUUUCUGUGUUACUUCGUCAUAAUAUUGUUUGAAUGGCUGGAACAAACACCUAAGCCAUACUGAGGCACAAGGCUCCCUCUCAUCUAAACAGAAAAUCAAGUAAUUUUGCUCUUCCCACUUUUGUAAAAAAUGGCUGAGCAAGAAAGGCAAAACAGUAUUACUCACAGGAGAUAUUACUUCUGCCAUAAUGUAGGGAAAUCGGUUUUUCUUGUGAAUCUAAUUCAACGAAGGAAAAUGUCAAAAUUUACCUCUGAUUUUGGCAGGCAUUUCUGAAGAGUGACUGUGUGGAAUUGUUCUGUGUUUUCCUCUUUUGAAAAGGUCUCUUCAGCAUUUAACCAAAUGAGGAGAGGAAUCAAAUUUAUUUAUGGAACUCCCAGUGGCUCCUACUUUUUUUUUUUUUUAAAUCAUUAUUGCAUCUUAAAUAUCUGCUGUCUGUAUUAGCCUCUAUCUCUUUCUGUCUCUUAAGAAGCACCUUAUUUGUAAUAAGGUAAGCUCAAGAAUCACUUGAUUUUAAAGAAAAUGAUUAAUAUAUUGAGAUACUUAUUGAUGUAGGAUGUCCAUGUUUAAAUACUUGUACAUCAGCUGAAUCAAUGUGGCUACAGGAAAAUGCCUUAAAGCAUUUAUUCAUUCUGUGCAGUGAAGCACAAAAGGAAAUGGAAUUUUAAUGACAAACUGCUUUAAACAGUAAAUAGAGGAAAUCCAAACUGUCAUUUAAGUAGACCUUCACGUGAAAAAAUACUAUAGUAAUGCAUGGCAAGGCUGCUGCACAAUUCCCAUCUGAUACCCAUAUUUUCUGAGAUGCAGCUGACUUAAUAUGACACUUGACAAAAAACCAGCAAACUAUUUAAAUAAUCAUCUGAGUACUUUCAAGGAAUUUAAGUAGAAGAAAAUAAAUGGAAUAAAACAUGUUCAUAAACUGAAUUGUAUCACAUACUAGUAUUGUAUUUCGUUUCAGUCUGCUUUUUUGGACACUGAAAUUGUAAUCAGACAUUGAAAGUAAAAUGUUGCCUUCAUUGAAUAUGUUAAGUUCAAUAUUGCAGCCAUUUUUCAGGUUUAUUUUCAGGAGAAUUGCAAAAUAAGCAUCUACUUACCACCUGUGCAGUGCACCUACUCUGACAUUUUGGUGUAAGAGUUUAACUUCUAAUUACAUGGGGCAUGCUCAGCUUGGAUGAGAGCACAGCAGAACGAAGCAAGGUGACAUCACAAUCAAUUUUAAUUCUAUGAGUUAAUUAAAGCCUUGAGCUCCCAUGUGCAUGCCAGGCAAGGAACGUGACAGCAAAAUUUGUGAGAGCUGUGCUGGAUCUCUGCUGCAAUCUGGGACACAACAGAGAAAGGGUUUUCAGACAGGGAAGCACAGCAGACACACCAUGUCCUUGUGUCUUUACAGGAACAUUUAGAAAGGGGGUUCAUUACUCAUGAAAGGGGAUCUGUGAGAUUUGGUUUAUGUGAUUAUACUGACAUGAUAUAAACCAGCUGUGAGGAAAUCUGUGUGAACGCAGUAUUUAAGAUCAGGAAAGCUGAUUGGUGUGCAUGCAGCACCUGACAUGGAGACCACAGUAUAUAUCAGAUGUUGUAGCAGAGCAAGUUGCAAGCUGGUUCUAGCUCAGUUUUAUCAUUUUCAAAUCUAUAAUUUUCAUACCUAGACCAGCAAAUUUUCUUUUUUGGAGACCACAGAAUUUUCUUUUUAAGGUUUCUUAAGAUAUUUCUUUCAUCUGUUGUAAAACAUAAAUUUUAUUAAUUUUGACAUGUUUAAUCAGUCACACAGCUCUGACUAAUCAACAUUGGUUGAAUAAUUUUACAUUACUAACCUCUCCAUUAAUUUUCCUGGGUGAUUGCAAGGUACAAUGAAAAAUUUUACAAAGGGCUGCCCUAUUACUAGGUCAGCAUGUUGCCAUAUUCAAAUCCUAUAAAGCUAGGGAACACUCCUUCCAGAGCUUUAGAGCAGUCUCUGUAAUAUUCUAUUUAUAUUCUUACAUAGCUCUUAUCACUGUGGCAUCUGACUACUUCCCAGGCCCCUAUUAUGCGAUACAGCUAACUUAUUUUGUUGGAAUGCUCUUAGAUAAUUUUGCUGCUUGGGAGAAAUAGAAGAAUGUUAUUUUGGGGUUAUUUGAAACUGCCUGUGUUUAUUUUUAGCUGGAGAGGUGCCUCCUGCACAGGGAAAAUGAUGCUUUGAAGCAAUUCUUCAUUCUAUCAAGAGCUUAUUGUGUAACUAACUGCAGACCAUUACAAAACUCAGGGCCUAAAUAAAUACCUGCUCUAUAGACUGGGACUGAAUUUUGCCAUGUCCUGAAACCAAUCCACUAUGAAAGAUUGAACUGUUCAUAGCUGUGGAGAAAUAUUAGGUCUUCACUGACAGAAGCCAUGGAAAUCUUGGGGGAAAAUAAAUUACUGGUCAUGUUCUAAAGAGGUCAGAAGUAAGAACUGGUAGUUGCAGUCACAAUAACAGAUCAUCUCUUUGAGAAAAUUAAGGGAGAAAUAUUAAUAAAUACACACUAAAAAGAGGGUGAACAUGUUUACAUUAUACAGUAGCAGCAAAAAUGUGAAAAAAUUUUCAUAAAGUACACUGGCAAAUUUCCAGAGAUAGUUUUUUUGUUUAAAAGCUAUUCAUAAAGAAUCCAGUUGCAUAUCUCACAUAUCUGUUUUACUCAGACAUUUGAUGGUGUUCUGUCUCAGAAAUUUGACUGAGAAUGCUUCUAUUAAUGAAUAGUUUAUAAGCAACACCCCAAGGUUUAGCAUUGUGUUACUCUUUCCACACAGAUUUCACUCUGGCUGAUGCUUCUGUGGAGUCUAGAAUUCAAUAAUUGUCUCUGUGUCUCUCUGCCAGAUAAAAACUGCAAAAAUUAUGGAACUGUGAUGCUUUUAUGAUGCUCACAGUUAUGACUUCUAAAUGAGGGAAGAAACAGCAGACUUAUGGAAAAUAUUCAUCAAUAAAGAAAGUUUCCAGAAAUAUGA
Molecule: non-coding RNA, 3595 nt
Organism: Zonotrichia albicollis (white-throated sparrow)
Lineage: Eukaryota; Metazoa; Chordata; Aves; Passeriformes; Passerellidae
Source: RefSeq, a predicted model, not a curated record